This 475-nucleotide ribosomal RNA is filed under the name Penicillium expansum. RNAcentral's name for it is "eukaryotic LSU rRNA". The stretch from base 105 to 257 matches the Rfam family "5.8S ribosomal RNA". Lineage: Eukaryota; Fungi; Ascomycota; Eurotiomycetes; Eurotiales; Aspergillaceae. The record is from RNAcentral.
UAACUGGCCGCCGGGGGGCUCACGCCCCCGGGCCCGCGCCCGCCGAAGACACCCCCGAACUCUGCCUGAAGAUUGUCGUCUGAGUGAAAAUAUAAAUUAUUUAAAACUUUCAACAACGGAUCUCUUGGUUCCGGCAUCGAUGAAGAACGCAGCGAAAUGCGAUACGUAAUGUGAAUUGCAAAUUCAGUGAAUCAUCGAGUCUUUGAACGCACAUUGCGCCCCCUGGUAUUCCGGGGGGCAUGCCUGUCCGAGCGUCAUUGCUGCCCUCAAGCCCGGCUUGUGUGUUGGGCCCCGUCCUCCGAUUCCGGGGGACGGGCCCGAAAGGCAGCGGCGGCACCGCGUCCGGUCCUCGAGCGUAUGGGGCUUUGUCACCCGCUCUGUAGGCCCGGCCGGCGCUUGCCGAUCAACCCAAAUUUUUAUCCAGGUUGACCUCGGAUCAGGUAGGGAUACCCGCUGAACUUAAGCAUAUCAAUAA